UGGCUCAGGAUGAACGCUGGCGGCGUGCCUAAUACAUGCAAGUCGAACGAGUUCUCGUUGAUGAUCGGUGCUUGCACCGAGAUUCAACAUGGAACGAGUGGCGGACGGGUGAGUAACACGUGGGUAACCUGCCCUUAAGUGGGGGAUAACAUUUGGAAACAGAUGCUAAUACCGCAUAGAUCCAAGAACCGCAUGGUUCUUGGCUGAAAGAUGGCGUAAGCUAUCGCUUUUGGAUGGACCCGCGGCGUAUUAGCUAGUUGGUGAGGUAAUGGCUCACCAAGGCGAUGAUACGUAGCCGAACUGAGAGGUUGAUCGGCCACAUUGGGACUGAGACACGGCCCAAACUCCUACGGGAGGCAGCAGUAGGGAAUCUUCCACAAUGGACGCAAGUCUGAUGGAGCAACGCCGCGUGAGUGAAGAAGGCUUUCGGGUCGUAAAACUCUGUUGUUGGAGAAGAAUGGUCGGCAGAGUAACUGUUGUCGGCGUGACGGUAUCCAACCAGAAAGCCACGGCUAACUACGUGCCAGCAGCCGCGGUAAUACGUAGGUGGCAAGCGUUAUCCGGAUUUAUUGGGCGUAAAGCGAGCGCAGGCGGUUUUUUAAGUCUGAUGUGAAAGCCCUCGGCUUAACCGAGGAAGCGCAUCGGAAACUGGGAAACUUGAGUGCAGAAGAGGACAGUGGAACUCCAUGUGUAGCGGUGAAAUGCGUAGAUAUAUGGAAGAACACCAGUGGCGAAGGCGGCUGUCUGGUCUGUAACUGACGCUGAGGCUCGAAAGCAUGGGUAGCGAACAGGAUUAGAUAC
RNAcentral lists this ribosomal RNA (801 nucleotides) under Lactobacillus casei group sp. Its description in RNAcentral is "bacterial SSU rRNA". It matches the Rfam family "Bacterial small subunit ribosomal RNA", at positions 20 to 785 of the family's 1533-position model. Lineage: Bacteria; Bacillati; Bacillota; Bacilli; Lactobacillales; Lactobacillaceae. The record is from RNAcentral.